GGGGGCGAAAGCUUUGACGAGGAUUUCGCCAGAAAAAGGCAAAUCGAGCAACCUCAAAUCUCGUUAAUCUUUGAGGAACGAAUAAGUGCCAACUUAUUUCAAAAACCUGUCUUAGCUUUUGCUUGAGACAGCAUCCGAACGGCUGACUCUCGAUGGGUCGCGAGGGUGUCAUAUUUUUCGAGAUAGGCAAUCUUUUGGCUCAAAAGAUUGCCGAACCAUUUGAGCCAAGGACAAAAAGGUUUUGCUCGGCUUGACACUUUUUGUCCCAAAACAAACCGAGCUAAAUUUGUAGAACUAUUUCUGGAAAAAUUUUCGGACGAGGGUUCAACCCCUCCGCCUCCACCC
Molecule: non-coding RNA, 345 nt
Organism: Candidatus Wildermuthbacteria bacterium
Lineage: Bacteria; Candidatus Wildermuthiibacteriota
Source: Rfam